UACGGAGGGUGCAAGCGUUAUCCGGAUUCACUGGGUUUAAAGGGUUCGUAGGUGGGAAAGUAAGUCAGUGGUGAAAUCUCCGUGCUUAACACGGAAACUGCCAUUGAUACUAUUUUUCUUGAAUUUUCUGGAGGUCAGCGGAAUAUGUCAUGUAGCGGUGAAAUGCUUAGAUAUGACAUAGAACACCAAUUGCGAAGGCAGCUGACUACAGGGAUAUUGACACUGAGGCACGAAAGCGUGGGGAUCAAACAGG
RNAcentral lists this ribosomal RNA (253 nucleotides) under uncultured bacterium. Its description in RNAcentral is "partial 16S ribosomal RNA". It matches the Rfam family "Bacterial small subunit ribosomal RNA", at positions 524 to 776 of the family's 1533-position model. The record is from RNAcentral.